This 335-nucleotide unclassified non-coding RNA is filed under the name Hevea brasiliensis (rubber tree). The record is from RNAcentral. Lineage: Eukaryota; Viridiplantae; Streptophyta; Magnoliopsida; Malpighiales; Euphorbiaceae.
AUCAUCUUUCACAGUUAACUCCCCUUUUAACUUGCAGCUUUUGGGGAGCUGUUUAGAUAUUCAGGCAGUAAUCAUACAACACUUUCAUCCUAUUCAAAAAGGAUGGGGGGAAAACAGCUUUUCUUAAUGCAGUCACGUCAAGAAAAUGCAUACAAUCAAGAGAUAUGGUCUAUUUCUUGAUGGUCAGCUGGUCGCAUUUAGUUCCUUUUCAAGCGCAUCAAACUCCCACUCACCAAUCUCAUCUGUCAAAUAGUCUGUGUCAUCUUUCCCAAGUUCAGACUCCAGCUGUUCAAGUUCCACCAGUGCUGGUGACUUUCUUCCAUUGAGCAAGGAUA